ACAGCAGUAGCCGCGGGAAUACGUAGGGUGCGAGCGUUAAUCGGAAUUACUGGGCGUAAAGCGUGCGCAGGCGGUUUGUAAGACAGGUGUGAAAUCCCCGGGCUUAACCUGGGAACUGCGCUUGUGACUGCACAGCUAGAGUAUGGCAGAGGGGGGUGGAAUUCCACGUGUGGCAGUGAAAUGCGUAGAGAUGUGGAGGAACACCGAUGGCGAAGGCAGCCCCCUGGGCCAAUACUGACGCUCAUGCACGAAAGCGUGGGGAGCAAACAGGAUUAGAUACCCCAGUAGUCCCUGUCUCUUAUACA
Molecule: ribosomal RNA, 305 nt
Filed under: uncultured bacterium
Lineage: Bacteria
Description: partial 16S ribosomal RNA
Rfam family: Bacterial small subunit ribosomal RNA
Source: RNAcentral